This 449-nucleotide ribosomal RNA is filed under the name uncultured bacterium. RNAcentral describes it as "bacterial SSU rRNA". It matches the Rfam family "Bacterial small subunit ribosomal RNA", at positions 29 to 513 of the family's 1533-position model. The record is from RNAcentral.
AACGAACGCUGGCGGCAGGCCUAACACAUGCAAGUCGAACGAUAAGCCACCUUCGGGUGGUGGACAGUGGCAGACGGGUGAGUAACGCGUGGGAACGUGCCUUUCGGUUCGGAAUAACCCAGGGAAACUUGGGCUAAUACCGGAUAUCCCCUACGGGGGAAAGAUUUAUCGCCCCUGGACGGGCCCGCGUCCGAUUAGCUAGUUGGUGAGGUAAUGGCUCACCAAGGCGACGAUCGGUAGCUGGUCUGAGAGGACGACCAGCCACACUGGAACUGAGACACGGUCCAGACUCCUACGGGAGGCAGCAGUGGGGAAUAUUGGGCAAUGGAGGCAACUCUGACCCAGCCAUGCCGCGUGGGUGACGAAGGUCUUCGGAUUGUAAAGCCCUUUCGGCGGGGACGAUGAUGACGGUACCCGCAGAAGAAGCCCCGGCUAACUUCGUGCCAGCA